CAGCUUCGUGAGGCGGUUCGGGAAGACGUACGCCGACGAGGAGGAGCGCGCCCUCCGGUUCAAGGUGUUCAAGGCGAACCUGCACCGGGCGGCGCGGUACCAGCGGCUCGACCCCACCGCCAUCCACGGCGUCACCAAGUUCUCCGACCUUAGCCCCGCCGAGUUCCGCCGCGCUUACCUCGGCCUCCGCCGCCCCGAGGCCCACAAGUCCACCCACGAGGCCCCCAUCCUCCCCACCGACGAUCUCCCCACUGAUUUCGACUGGAG
Molecule: long non-coding RNA, 267 nt
Filed under: Musa acuminata (dwarf banana)
Lineage: Eukaryota; Viridiplantae; Streptophyta; Magnoliopsida; Zingiberales; Musaceae
Description: long non-coding RNA (MACU_LNC001382)
Source: RNAcentral